Molecule: ribosomal RNA, 495 nt
Filed under: uncultured bacterium
Lineage: Bacteria
Description: partial 16S ribosomal RNA
Rfam family: Bacterial small subunit ribosomal RNA
Source: RNAcentral
AUGCACGCUGGCGGCGUGCCUCAUACAUGCAAGUCGAGCGAACGGACGAGAAGCUUGCUUUUCUGAUGUUAGCGGCGGACGGGUGAGUAACACGUGGAUAACCUACCUAUAAGACUGGGAUAACUUCGGGAAACCGGAGCUAAUACCGGAUAAUAUUUUGAACCGCAUGGUUCAAAAGUGAAAGACGGUCUUGCUGUCACUUAUAGAUGGAUCCGCGCUGCAUUAGCUAGUUGGUAAGGUAACGGCUUACCAAGGCAACGAUGCAUAGCCGACCUGAGAGGGUGAUCGGCCACACUGGAACUGAGACACGGUCCAGACUCCUACGGGAGGCAGCAGUAGGGAAUCUUCCGCAAUGGGCGAAAGCCUGACGGAGCAACGCCGCGUGAGUGAUGAAGGUCUUCGGAUCGUAAAACUCUGUUAUUAGGGAAGAACAUAUGUGUAAGUAACUGUGCACAUCUUGACGGUACCUAAGCAGAAAACCACGGCUAACUACGU